Molecule: small RNA, 2158 nt
Filed under: Olea europaea subsp. europaea
Lineage: Eukaryota; Viridiplantae; Streptophyta; Magnoliopsida; Lamiales; Oleaceae
Source: RNAcentral
UCAUGUAUCCGGCCAAUAAGACUAGAAUAGAAUUGUACCACAACUCUAAGCUACAAAGCAAGCCAAGAGAAGAAAUAAGUAAAAAUAGUUUUACACCAAAAUUAUGUAUGCAUCCGCAAACUUCCUCUCUCUCUAUCAGUGCAGCAGUGCAAUUGUCUUGAAAAUCACUUUUGAGUUCAUUUUAAUUUUUAAGCUUAGUACUUAAUUUGUGAAAAUAUAUAAUAAAACAUAUUCUUUGACAUAUAGCUGAUAACAAGGAAGAUGAUUUACCAAACCAUAAUGCCAGAGGAUAUCGAGAGCUUUAUUACAGGCAAUAUAUCCUUGAAAGCGGCCGUGCUGAAUCCUGUCCAAGUUUGAGGGCACCAUCCACCAAAUAUGUAUGCAAAUUCUCCAAACACAACAAACCAGGAUGAUAUGCAUAGUGCACCCAUCGCCCCAUCAACUCCCCAGUUCAAAUGGUUAACAAACAGCCAGGACAAGGGAACGUGUAUUAUAAUUUGCAGAAUGGAUAUCCAGGCAACAAAAUUGUUCUUUUGCUGCGCUUGUAGAUACAUUUGCAUCGUCAAUGUAAAAACAAAAUUGUAGACCAUCGGAAUAAACCACCACGAGAUGUACCCUGCUGAUCUGGCAAUGCCUUCUUCCUCACCGAGUAGUCUAAAGAGGGGCAUCCCAAAGAUAAAAAUAGGGAGAAAGAUAGUCGAAGUUAUGAAAUCAACAAUCCAUGAUCUUUGCAAAUAAAUACCCAUCAUAUGGUACUGUCUUGCUCCAUAUGCUUGUCCACAAAGUGUUUCAGUUGCACUUGACAUGCCUAUCUGUAGCAUGGAAAUUAUAACAUUUUAAAAUUUGGUACAAAUUCUAUUGCAUAGCCCAGAUCCAAGUGCCAAACUUCCAUUAAAUAAAUUGGUCGAGAGGUUUCCAUAUUCCAAUGUGGGAAUGGAAACUUUCCAUUUUUCAAGUUGAACACGUACAUAUUCGGUUUUAAUUUCUCAUUCAUCCAAACGUGGUUUUGAGAUAAACAAAUUAUAACAUGAACAUCUCCUCAUAGAGGAGAACGCAUAUGUCCUGAGAUAACAAAAUCAGGUAAUGGGACUCACUCGCUACAUAAACUAAACCAUUUUUCCAACAUUAUAUGCAUCUGUCUUUAUUGAAAUGGCAGAUUCUUUAGUCUCAGUCUGCUAUAACCGCCUCUUGCAGACCUUAUAAAUUUUCCAAGACUUGCACUGGGCUGACAUUUUAUCAUGUAAGUGCAUCGACCUUGAUUUUACCUCAAAUUAACCAGCAAGAUUUAGCAAAUUUACGAACAAUAAAUGAAAGGACAUAGAACAAGAAGUUACCAGUAUUCCAUUGAUAAACCGCACGCUAAGAGUUUGAACAAGUGCAUAACCAGCAAGAUCUAAUGAAUUUAAGUGUCCAAUAAAUGAUUGUGUCACUAUUAUGGUUCCGAAUGAAGCCACUCGCGCUAUAAUUCCAGGCAAUGCUACCCUCCAUAUCUUCUUGGAUUCUUCGUAAACCUUCCCUUUCAGACCGCCCACUUCUUUUCCUUCCGAACCAGAACGAAGCAGUCUCUCUUGAAUGCCAUUAUCCAUGGCUCUACAAUGACGAGAAAUCAAAAACUCAUCAAAAAAAUUUAUUCAACUCUCCAAAAAAGCCUAUUAUGUUAUAUUUCAUAAGGAUGCACAUUUCUAUGCUAAGGUGAUAACUUACUUAAAUGCCUCGAUUUGAAGUCAUAAACAAUAUCAGUUUCAUCAUGAGUGAAGUAUCCUGUUUUCUGUAUAAAUGCACAAUCAAACGGCUUCCAUUUAUACAAACCAUUCCAGUACUUGAUACUAUAUCAAAUUAUCAAGAGUUUCCUAAGGAUCAGUUCUAUGUUUUAGGAAUGAUUUCUCAUCAUUAUUUUCCUCCUAAUUUAUUUUCAUUACAGGUAGAGCUCCAUAUUAAGUUGUUAGAAGAAUGAAUUUCCCACAUAAAAGAGCCAUUUGUCCAGGUAUCAGAACCAAACGAAAUCAAUUUCCAGAGUUUGAUUAAUCUUAACUUGAAUAUACAAUAGUAAACGUCUUUCUACACUCUUUGGCGGCAUAAAUAUGUUUAAAGAAUUUUUUACUCAUCAGCCCCGAAGUCAAGAUUUAAAGAAGCAACAAAGUAGUAUUUCCCAUUUCCC